Molecule: ribosomal RNA, 253 nt
Filed under: uncultured bacterium
Lineage: Bacteria
Description: partial 16S ribosomal RNA
Rfam family: Bacterial small subunit ribosomal RNA
Source: RNAcentral
UACGGAGGGGGCUAGCGUUGUUCGGAGUUACUGGGCGUAAAGCGUACGUAGGCGGCUUUUUAAGUCAGAGGUGAAAUCCCACGACUCAAUCGUGGAACUGCCUUUGAGACUGGAUCGCUUGAAGAUGGGAGAGGUAAGUGGAAUUCCGAGUGUAGAGGUGAAAUUCGUAGAUAUUCGGAAGAACACCAGUGGCGAAGGCGGCUUACUGGACCAUUCUUAACGCUGAGGUACGAAAGCGUGGGGAGCAAACAGG